This 86-nucleotide transfer RNA is filed under the name Agrobacterium tumefaciens. RNAcentral's name for it is "tRNA-OTHER". RNAcentral also lists the same sequence under 1 other name. Lineage: Bacteria; Pseudomonadati; Pseudomonadota; Alphaproteobacteria; Hyphomicrobiales; Rhizobiaceae. The record is from RNAcentral.
GGAAGGCGCCGCUAAAUGGUUGGCAAUCGGUCUUGAAAACCGAGGGGGCCGCAAGGUCAGGGGUUCGAUUCCUCAGUCUUCCGCCA